GACGAACCGUGCGAACGUUGUUCGGAAUCACUGGGCUUAAAGGGCGCGUAGGCGGGCAGUCAAGUCCGGGGUGAAAGCUUCCGGCUCAACCGGAAAAGGGCCUUGGAUACUGGCUGUCUGGAGGGAGGUAGGGGCAUGCGGAACUUCCGGUGGAGCGGUGAAAUGCGUUGAGAUCGGAAGGAACGCCCGUGGCGAAAGCGAGGUCCUGGACGUUUUCUGACGCUGAGACGCGAAAGCCAGGGGAGCGAACGGG
This 253-nucleotide ribosomal RNA is filed under the name uncultured bacterium. RNAcentral's name for it is "partial 16S ribosomal RNA". It matches the Rfam family "Bacterial small subunit ribosomal RNA", at positions 524 to 776 of the family's 1533-position model. The record is from RNAcentral.